This 914-nucleotide long non-coding RNA is filed under the name Oncorhynchus kisutch (coho salmon). RNAcentral describes it as "lncRNA (ENSOKIG00005016504.1)". Lineage: Eukaryota; Metazoa; Chordata; Actinopteri; Salmoniformes; Salmonidae. The record is from RNAcentral.
ACAAGGACAGUUGAGGGCACUAGGACUAGAGCAAUUUCAGGAAUCAUUUAUUUACCUUGCUGGCGCGUACGCGCCCAGCCGAGUUGUGCGCGUUCACAGUGUUGGGUGCAGAACAUACGAGGCUACGGGUUCUAUCUCGCUGUCUCUUCUGUAGGACAUGUUCACUGACGAAUCCCAUAUUUGUUUUAUUCUCACUGAAGCAGUGCGAACUGGGCUUAGUAGUGGGAUGCUGAAAAAUACAAGUCAUUGCUGUCGAAAACCUCAACAGUAGUAAAGUGCGCGGCACACUGCGGCUAAGAGGAUAUAGAGAAGAGACCCUUGGUGUGGUGGUUUGUCCUGCGCUUACAGUAUGAUGGAGGCUGGCUGUGGGGUUGCCGCGGUGAUCGGGAAUGCUUCCUCAGGACCACAGGGAAAACCAGGAAGUGGUGACGUCCUUGAGGGGGCCAUGUCACUGUGUAUUACACCAGAUGAAGACAAGAACCAGCCUGAUCCAUACAAGAGCACUAUUCCAACAGAUAAGUCCCCACAAGGGAGCACAAUGGCCAUGGUACAGUCUUUUAUUGCUAGAGGAGGUCUGAUAAGAGCACUGUAACCCGGGAACAGCAGUCUCUUAACUCUAAUACUAUGUAGUCUUAUAGAUACUGCUAGUAUGGGUUUGACCAUCAUGUAAUUGGUUUACACUUCAGGAAUGUUGAGUAUCGUGUGUGUUAAUUGGCAGAUAUUGAGUAUUGUGUGUUGAUUGGCAGGUACGGAAUGAUGAGCUCACAGAGCUUCCUGUCGAGCCUGAGCCCACCCUGCGUUCCUGCAUCAGCACAGCCAGCAUGAAGGUCAAAAACGUGAAGAAGUAGGUGCUCCUGUCCCCACGGAAACAGGCUAUUAUGGGCUGUAAAAUGGGCCUCUAAACCAGGGCAGUA